RNAcentral lists this ribosomal RNA (253 nucleotides) under uncultured bacterium. RNAcentral's name for it is "partial 16S ribosomal RNA". It matches the Rfam family "Bacterial small subunit ribosomal RNA", at positions 524 to 776 of the family's 1533-position model. The record is from RNAcentral.
UACAGAGGUCCCGAGCGUUGUUCGGAUUCACUGGGCGUAAAGGGCGCGUAGGCGGCCUGAUAAGCGUGCGGUGAAAGCCCGGGGCUCAACCCCGGGUCGGCCGUGCGAACUGUCGAGCUGGAGCACUGUAGAGGCAGGUGGAAUUCCGGGUGUAGCGGUGGAAUGCGUAGAGAUCCGGAAGAACACCGGUGGCGAAGGCGGCCUGCUGGGCAGUGGCUGACGCUGAGGCGCGACAGCGUGGGGAGCAAACAGG